This 104-nucleotide ribosomal RNA is filed under the name Acanthosepion pharaonis. Lineage: Eukaryota; Metazoa; Mollusca; Cephalopoda; Sepiida; Sepiidae. The record is from RNAcentral.
GGCCAUGUCACGCUGAACAACCGGUUCUCGUCCGAUCACCGAAGUUAAGCAACCUCGAGCCUGGUCAGUAUGGGUGACCGCUUGGGAAUACCAGAUGCUGUAAG